AGGGGAACUGAAGUGAAAAAUGAAAAUCAUUUAAAAAGUAGUUUUCAUCGUGCUGAUUUCGGAUAUCGACACGAAAUUAGUGUUUUUCUUUUCGUUUUCCUGCAUUUAACGCGCAAAGUGUGAAAUUUCUCCAUUUCCGUGGCGGAGAGGUCUGGAGACAAGUUUCAGGCGCUGACGUAAAGUCGUGGACACGUGCCCCGAACCUAACGAAAACAACAGUGUAGUAGAGUGAAUCGGAGGGAGGGAAUUUGGUUAGUAGUUAAAGUUUCAGAUCGCAAUUUUCACGACAGCUCUUCAGGAAUGACAACAGACUUAAGAUCGAGCGACGAUGAAGUGUUUGGAGCAUGUGGUGGUGAAGUACUUGCCCUACCAAGGGCGAACGGGACCUGCGAAAGUGGCGAUGAAGAUUAGCCUAGGCCCGAUGAGAUCCCAGAGGAUGAGGAUGAAUUAUCUCCCACGACGUGCUUGUUUUGUUGGUAGAAAUGAGGAAGUAGAUAAAUGGUAUCUACAAACAGUGGCUGAUCAAUGUAUGGUUUGCUGGUUUUUGGGUAUUUGUGCUGGAAUAACUGGACAACUUUAAGUAUGCAUUUAUCACAAAUGUAAAGAAAAUAACUUUAGUCAAAGAAGACAAGAGUUUCAAAAUUCUGCAGAGAGACAAUGAAAAUGCAAAAAUCAGCUACCUACUACAUAUACAGUGGAGAACAGGGUUAUAUACAGGGGUUAUUCAAAAGGACCAGACUUUUUGUUCAAAAUAGCAAGAAGAGAAAUUUGUUGAAACUAGUGGGACAAUGGCCAAAUCUUGUCAGCCCUAGGCCAAAUCACUAGAUUAGUCACAUCAAGGGGUGGGGGGGAUUCAGCAAGGCUUGAUAUUUUUAAGAUUCCUAAGGUGUACUUUUCAACAUAGUUCACUCACAACAAAAUGUGUAGAAUAGUUUGGAUUUGAUCAAGAUUUUCUCUUACAAUAAUGGUCCUGUACCACCUGCUUGGUAACAUUUUUUAUAAAUAAUCAGAGGAAAAUGUUUUACCUUCAGGGUACAAUGUUCUUUUAAUGUAUUCUGUCACUGCCUGUUGUUAAGAUACACUGUUUUUAAAUUUUGAGAAUGAAGUUUUUUUGUGCCCAA
Molecule: non-coding RNA, 1121 nt
Organism: Rhopilema esculentum
Lineage: Eukaryota; Metazoa; Cnidaria; Scyphozoa; Rhizostomeae; Rhizostomatidae
Source: RefSeq, a predicted model, not a curated record